This 279-nucleotide ribosomal RNA is filed under the name uncultured bacterium. Its description in RNAcentral is "partial 16S ribosomal RNA". It matches the Rfam family "Bacterial small subunit ribosomal RNA", at positions 506 to 784 of the family's 1533-position model. The record is from RNAcentral.
UGCCAGCAGCCGCGGUAACACGUAAGGGGCAAGCGCUGUCCGGAAUCACUGGGCGUAAAGGGAGCGUAGGUGGCGAGAUAAGUCAGAUGUGAAAGUUUGCGGCUCAACCGUAAAAUUGCAUUUGAUACUGUUUUGCUAGAGUAUCGGAGAGGAAAGCGGAAUUCCUGGUGUAGCGGUGAAAUGCGCAGAGAUCAGGAAGAACACCAAUGGCGAAGGCAGCUUUCUGGACGAUAACUGACGCUGAGGCUCGAAAGCGUGGGGAGCGAACAGGAUUAGAUA